CUCUGAGAGUGUUUAUAGUGCUGUGAGUUUAACACUUCAUCACUGACACACACAACAAUCUUCAUCAACAUGACCUUCAUCAUCAUCUUCAUCUGGACUCUUUCAUACUGCUUUAUACUACAAGGGUGUAAAGCUCAGAUCACAGUCACUCAGACUCCAGUGAAACCUGUCACACCAGGAGAAACUGUUGUGAUGAGCUGUAAGUUUAGUUCUGCUCCAGCCUGCAGCCCAAGCCCCUGUGUGUCCUGGUACUUACAGAAACCUGGAGAAGCUCCUAAACUCCUGAUUUAUUUAACAAGCAGCCGUCAGUCAGGAACUCCAUCUAGAUUCAGUGGCAGUGGAUCUAACAGUGAUUUCACUCUGACCAUCAGUGGAGUCCAGACUGAAGAUGCUGGACAUUAUUACUGUCAGAGUUACCACUACAUCAACAGUAAAAGUGUGUUCACACAGUGAUUGUGAGUUGUACAAAAACCUGUGUCAGUCAGAGUCACAGUGACUGAACUGAUGCUGCAGCUGAUCAAACACUAUCACUCACUACUGACACACAGAGACCAAACACAGAACUACACAUGAGCUCACAACUGAGUUAGGAGUCACAUCAGCUCUAUUAGACUCAGAUCUGUCCUGUGACAGACGGGUUUGACUCAAUUAUGCUCUGAUUUUGUGAUGAAUUGAUAUCAAAUCAAUCCAAAAACACACAAAUAUUUUCUCUGUUACAGUUUGGUAGUUUUUAUGUUUUUAUGUGUACUUACAAUCAUACUGAUAAAUUGC
This is a non-coding RNA of Carassius carassius (crucian carp), 771 nucleotides long. NCBI's taxonomy places the organism in Eukaryota, Metazoa, Chordata, Actinopteri, Cypriniformes, Cyprinidae. The record is from the annotation of a RefSeq genome assembly.